This 2258-nucleotide long non-coding RNA is filed under the name Equus caballus (horse). RNAcentral's name for it is "lncRNA (ENSECAG00000056423.1)". The record is from RNAcentral. Lineage: Eukaryota; Metazoa; Chordata; Mammalia; Perissodactyla; Equidae.
AGGGACUUGAGCAGAGGGGAAACAUUUGGAACAGCUGCAGUAAGGAAUGCAAGAGGGAGUCAACAAGCAAUAAAUAAAAGAAUUGCUGAGAUACAAUGAGAGUCCAGCUGAGGUCAGUUGACUCGGUCACUAUUGUUUAGUGACUUGCUUCAGUUUAUCAAUAUGGGAAGAGAAAUUGGGCAAUAGGAGUUAUUGAAAUGUGGAGAUCGGUAAAGUGGAAAUAACAGAAGAAUGAAGAGGGAGACACAGGCAGGUUAAAGAAGAGGACUCUAGCUAUCCGCUGACUUAGCCCUCUCUCCGUCCUAUCCAGUAUCCACUAAAACCACAAUUAUGCAUUUAGAGUUGUACAAACAGAUGCACAGAAGCCUCAGGGCCUAGACUGAGAAAAGAAAUGGAAUGGAACUUCAGUGGCCUGUGGGACUGUAAUAAAAGAUCUAAUAUUUGUGUCAUUGGAUUCCAGAAAGAGAGGAGAAAGAGGGAGAAGCAGAAAAAGUAUUCAAAACAAAAAUGGUGGAAAACUUUUCAAAUUUGCCAAAAGACAUAAGUGUACAUAUUUUAAAAGCUGAAGGAAUUCCAAAUAGGAUAAAUGCAAACAAACCCACACCAAGAAACACCCUAGAGCAGCUUCUGAAAACUAAAGACAAAGAAAGAAAACUUGAAAGCAGUGAGAAAGAAGUCGCCUCACCUAUGGGGGAAAAACAAUUAGAAUGAUAGCAGUCUUCUCAUCAGAAAUCGUGGAAGCCAGAAAGAAGUGGUUCAACAUUUUUCAAGUGCUGAAAGGAAAGAGUCCCAUAUACUGAGGAAAUAUUCUUCAGGAACCAAGGAAAAAUCAAGGCAGUUACAGAUGCAGAAAAAGUAAGAAAAUUUGUUAUCAGCAGAUCUAAAAGAAUGACCAAAGGAAGUUACCUAAACAGAAAGGAAGUGAUAAUGAGAGACGAUGGAAUCUUGGAACAUUGAGAGGGAAGAAAGAACAAUAGAAAGAGGAAAAACACACGUAAAUAUAUCCUUCUCCUGUUGAGUUUCCCAAAUUUUAUUUCAUUGUUGAAACAAAAUAUAUGACACUAUUUGCUAUGGUUCUAGAUAUAUAGAGAGGAAAUAUUGAAGAUAAUUAUAAGUGGUAGAGAGUAAAGGGAUGUUAAAAUAGGACAAGUUUCUACACUUCACCCAAACUGCUAAAUAUCUUGUGGAUAAUGAGAGCCAAUUUUCUCUGUCAGGGACAGGAGUUAAAAAUAAAGGGAGAGACAAGGCCAGGACAGAUCUUGUGGUAUUGCACCGGACUCAGAAAUAUUAAUACAAAAUCAUGCUUAAAAAUUUUAAAAUAUGUACAGUUAGAUAUCAAUAUAAAUGUGUGAGUACGUAUGCAUACAUACAUUUAUUUCCUAGCUCAAAUUAUUCUAAAAGUAAUCACACCCAAAUAACAAUGAAUAAAUCAAAGUGCUGAGAUAUUUAUUUAUAAAUAGCAUUUUCCAAUGAAAGGGAGUGGAUGUUUCUAGGUCUGAGGCAGAGACAGUACAAGAUGAACUUGGAACAUCAAUCAUCAAUCAUAUGAACAUCAAUCAAAGUAAGAAAGUGCUCAAAAAGGAUAAUGCCAUAUCAAAAGAGCUCAGGAGUCAACUUGAAAAGCUACCAGUGGCCAAAUCUGGGACAUUUUUAGCCACAACAUAAUAAUGCUACACAAUAAUAAUAAUACAUUAGUAUUAUAGCCCAUAAACUAAAAAAGCAAAUAUUCAUUGGUUUACCCUGAUAUGAAUAAUAAAUAAGUAAAUAAAAAGAUGGAAAUAUGGAUAGAUAGAAAAUAGAAAGGGGAAAACUUUUCCUUACAGUACAAUUUGAAUAUAUAAAUAGAGAAAGAAUCAUAGAAAUUGAAAAUCAUCAUUUGUAGACACACUGUAAUAAUUGUCCUUGGCAAGUAUCAUCAACGUAUGCUAAAAUUAGUUGGGGUAAGUAUUAUGAGAAACAGGAUAUUUGGCAAGUUCAAAGUAUCUCUCCAUAAGGUGCUUAUCAAUUAAAAUUAAAAUUCAUUGAUUUUAUGGGGCAGAAAGUUGGCAGACACCACCUUAACACAGUUAUCAAAGCUAUAUCACUAAUAAUGAGACACGUUGUCAUUAUGUACUUGAUAAAUGAGGCACUGAGGAGGGUACAACUAAUUUCUGUGUUACUCUCGCCAAAAAAUGUAUGACUCAGACUGAAGGAGAAAUGUAAACUAAAUACAAUGAGGGAUCCUGGUUAUUAGGAUGGUAAAAAGAAAUUAUUGGGAC